UGAGGAAUAUUGCGCAAUGGGGGCAACCCUGACGCAGCAACGCCGCGUGAGUGAGGAAGGUUUUCGGACCGUAAAGCUCUGUCGAGCGGGAAGAAAUGCAUGGUGGCUAAUAUCCAUCAUGCUUGACGGUACCGCUAAAGGAAGCACCGGCUAACUCCGUGCCAGCAGCCGCGGUAAUACGGGGGGUGCGAGCGUUGUUCGGAAUUAUUGGGCGUAAAGAGCGUGUAGGCGGCCGAAUAAGUCAGAUGUGAAAUCCCUGGGCUUAACCCAGGAAGUGGAUUUGAAACUAUUGGGCUGGAGUAGGGGAGAGGAAAGUGGAAUUCCUGGUGUAGAGGUGAAAUUCGUAGAUAUCAGGAGGAACACCGGUGGCGAAGGCGACUUUCUGGCCCUAUACUGACGCUGAGACGCGAGAGCGUGGGUAGCAAACAG
This 429-nucleotide ribosomal RNA is filed under the name uncultured bacterium. RNAcentral describes it as "bacterial SSU rRNA". It matches the Rfam family "Bacterial small subunit ribosomal RNA", at positions 355 to 775 of the family's 1533-position model. The record is from RNAcentral.